GGAGGAGAUGCAGAGCCACGGGAGCUUUCCUAAGUUACCAGGACAUGUGUGAAAUGGCAGUAAGGCAGCUACAGUGUGAAUGGAAGUUUAAGUCUUUCCUUAUCAGCAUCACAUGCAUGAAGUUCCUUUGGAGGCCAGAAGAAGAUGUUGACUUCUCUGGGACCAUCACCAUGUUGUAGGUGUUGUGAACCAAACCCAGGUCUUCUUCAAAAGUCACAAGUGAUCUUAACUGAUGAACCAUCUAUUAAACCAAACCUAACUAGUUUUUUAUUUUUAAAAAAAUAGGAAUCUAAUUCCUGAAUCUUUAAACAGAUUGUAAAGAACUGAAAUUGUUAACAUUAGGAAUUCUGACCAUGAUUAAAAAAUAAAUUUGUUGGGA
Molecule: non-coding RNA, 379 nt
Organism: Myodes glareolus (Bank vole)
Lineage: Eukaryota; Metazoa; Chordata; Mammalia; Rodentia; Cricetidae
Source: RefSeq, a predicted model, not a curated record